CGGGGUGCACCAGGCGCGAAAACUUUACAAUGCCGGCAACGGCGAUAAGGGAACCUCGAGUGCCAGGUUACAAAUCUGGCUGUCGUGAUGCCUAAAAAGCAUUGCAUAGCAAGGGCCGGGCAAGACCGGUGCCAGCCGCCGCGGUAACACCGGCGGCUCGAGUGGUAACCGUUAUUAUUGGGUCUAAAGGGUCUGUAGCCGGCCGGGUAAGUCUCUUGGGAAAUCUGGCAGCUUAACUGUCAGGCUUUCAGGAGAUACUGCCUGGCUCGAGGCCGGGAGAGGUGAGAGGUACUUCAGGGGUAGGGGUGAAAUCUUGUAAUCCUUGAAGGACCACCAGUGGCGAAGGCGUCUCACCAGAACGGACCUGACGGCAAGGGACGAAAGCUAGGGGCACGAACCGGAUUAGAUACCCGGGUAGUCCUAGCCGUAAACGAUACUCGCUAGGUGUCGGCCACGGUGCGACCGUGGUCGGUGCCGUAGGGAAGCCGUGAAGCGAGCCACCUGGGAAGUACGGCCGCAAGGCUGAAACUUAAAGGAAUUGGCGGGGG
This 548-nucleotide ribosomal RNA is filed under the name uncultured archaeon. RNAcentral's name for it is "bacterial SSU rRNA". It matches the Rfam family "Archaeal small subunit ribosomal RNA", at positions 326 to 874 of the family's 1478-position model. The record is from RNAcentral.